GGGGUUGUAGCUCAGUGGUACAGCAUGUGCUUAGCAUGCUUGAGGCCCUGGGUUCAAUUCCCAGCACCUCCA
This 72-nucleotide transfer RNA is filed under the name Loxodonta africana (African savanna elephant). It matches the Rfam family "tRNA". Rfam says of the family: Transfer RNA (tRNA) molecules are approximately 80 nucleotides in length. Their secondary structure includes four short double-helical elements and three loops (D, anti-codon, and T loops). Lineage: Eukaryota; Metazoa; Chordata; Mammalia; Proboscidea; Elephantidae. The record is from Rfam by way of RNAcentral.